UUUCCGUAGGUGAACCUGCGGAAGGAUCAUUAUUGUAUAAACAAGUUCCGAGGUCUUACGCUAACGCUAAAGAACGGUCACCCCCGCGGGCCCUCACACACCUCCAUCUCACCCCUAUGCGCGCCACCGCGCGGGUCCGCCGUUGAACUGUUAGGAGGUUGGCUUACGUUUGCGGACAAACUUUGUAUUCAAUGAAGAAUGUAUUUUUUGUUUGUGCGUUCAAGCAAAAACUAAAACUUUCAACACCGGACCUCUUGGCUCUGUCAUCGAUAAAAAAGC
RNAcentral lists this unclassified non-coding RNA (279 nucleotides) under plant metagenome. Its description in RNAcentral is "partial contains small subunit ribosomal RNA, internal transcribed spacer 1, and 5.8S ribosomal RNA". The record is from RNAcentral.